CCUACGGGCGGCUGCAGUAGGGAAUCUUCCGCAAUGGGCGAAAGCCUGACGGAGCAACGCCGCGUGAGUGAUGAAGGUCUUCGGAUUGUAAAACUCUGUCUUCCGGGACGAACUGAUAGGUGAGGAAAUGCUCCUAUCCUGACGGUACCGGAGGAGGAAGCCCCGGCUAACUACGUGCCAGCAGCCGCGGUAAUACGUAGGGGGCAAGCGUUGUCCGGAAUUAUUGGGCGUAAAGAGCUUGUAGGCGGUUCGUCGCGUCUGGUGUGAAAGCCCAUCGCUUAACGGUGGGUCUGCGCCGGGUACGGGCGGGCUAGAGUGCAGUAGGGGAGACUGGAAUUCCCGGUGUAACGGUGGAAUGUGUAGAUAUCGGGAAGAACACCAAUGGCGAAGGCAGGUCUCUGGGCUGUUACUGACGCUGAGAAGCGAAAGCGUGGGGAGCUAACAGGAUUAGAUACCCGGGUAGU
Molecule: ribosomal RNA, 464 nt
Filed under: Pseudomonas aeruginosa
Lineage: Bacteria; Pseudomonadati; Pseudomonadota; Gammaproteobacteria; Pseudomonadales; Pseudomonadaceae
Description: bacterial SSU rRNA
Rfam family: Bacterial small subunit ribosomal RNA
Source: RNAcentral